This 392-nucleotide ribosomal RNA is filed under the name Tresus keenae. Its description in RNAcentral is "partial 16S ribosomal RNA". It matches the Rfam family "Archaeal large subunit ribosomal RNA", at positions 2038 to 2675 of the family's 2987-position model. Lineage: Eukaryota; Metazoa; Mollusca; Bivalvia; Venerida; Mactridae. The record is from RNAcentral.
GCAAUAAAUCGUCCUUUAAUUGGGGAAAGGUAUGAAUGGCUUGACGAGAGAGUGACUGUCUCGGGAGUAACCUUUGAAGUUUUCUUUUAAGUGAAAAGACUUAAAUUUUAAAAUAAGACGAGAAGACCCCGGUGAGCUUGAUUAGGUUAAAUUUUUUAAUGAAAACUAAAGUUUGGUUGGGGCAACAGGAAGGGAAGAAAAAUCCUUCUGACAUAGUUAAAGAUCCCAUUUGAUGGAACCGAGCAAAAGCUACCACGGGGAUAACAGCGUUAUCCCUUUUUAGAGAUCAAAUCAAGAAAGGGGCUUGCGACCUCGAUGUUGGAUUAGAGUUUCCUUUUGGUGCAGAAGCUAAAAUGGAGAGACUGUUCGUCUUUUAAUUCUCUACGUGAUCU